CAGUAGCCGCGGUAAUACGUAGGGUGCAAGCGUUAAUCGCAAUUACUGGGCGUAAAGCGUGUGCAGGCGGUUUGUUAAGACAGAUGUGAAAUCCCCGGGCUCAACCUGGGAACUGCAUUUGUGACUGGCAAGCUAGAGUGUGGCAGAGGGGGGUGGAAUUCCGCGUGUAGCAGUGAAAUGCGUAGAUAUGCGGAGGAACACCGAUGGCGAAGGCAGCCCCCUGGGCCAACACUGACGCUCAUGCACGAAAGUGUGGGGAGCAAACAGGAUUAGAUACCCCUGUAGUCCCUGUCUCUUAUAC
This 301-nucleotide ribosomal RNA is filed under the name uncultured bacterium. RNAcentral's name for it is "partial 16S ribosomal RNA". It matches the Rfam family "Bacterial small subunit ribosomal RNA", at positions 509 to 807 of the family's 1533-position model. The record is from RNAcentral.